UAACAUCACAGCCCUGCUCUGAAGACUUCAAGAUGCUGAUUACUUGACAACUUCACAGCACCCCCCCACCAGACUGAAACUGUUGACUUAAGACACAAAAGAAAGAGCAAGGAUGAAACUCUUGACCAGACUAACCACAAAUUCUUGGCUUCAUGCAUAAGAGUUUACCUGUGAAAGAGCAGGGAAUUUUCUACCCAUGUAUACCACCAUCACAGUAUCUGAGCAUCCGUACCAUUGUAACCCCAGAAGUUUUAGAGAGGGACCUGGGACACAGGCUAAGUGGUGUGCCCGAGCACCACAGGGAGCUUGUGAUAAAGCAGGGACUGCUUUUCCACCUCUGGAAGCACCACCCCCACUGACAGCUGAGGCCUUUCGUUUGAUUCGGUUCUUUUAUAUGCUUC
Aquila chrysaetos chrysaetos is the source of this 401-nucleotide long non-coding RNA. RefSeq lists it as uncharacterized. NCBI's taxonomy places the organism in Eukaryota, Metazoa, Chordata, Aves, Accipitriformes, Accipitridae. The transcript has 3 exons. The record is from RefSeq and is a predicted model, not a curated record.